UACAGAGGGGGCAAGCGUUGUUCGGAAUUACUGGGCGUAAAGGGCGCGUAAGCGGCCUGCUAAGUCGAACGUGAAAUCCCCGGGCUCAACCUGGGAACUGCAUCCGAAACUGCCUUGCUCGAGUAUGGGAGAGGGAAGUGGAAUUUCCGGUGUAGCGGUGAAAUGCGUAGAUAUCGGAAGGAACAUCAGUGGCGAAGGCGACUUCCUGGACUAAUACUGACGCUCAGGUGCGAAAGCGUGGGGAGCAAACAGG
RNAcentral lists this ribosomal RNA (253 nucleotides) under uncultured bacterium. RNAcentral's name for it is "partial 16S ribosomal RNA". It matches the Rfam family "Bacterial small subunit ribosomal RNA", at positions 524 to 776 of the family's 1533-position model. The record is from RNAcentral.